AUGGUAGGAUAGAGGCCUACCAUGGUGGUAACGGGUAACGGGGUGUUAGGGCACGACACCGGAGAGGGAGCCUGAGAAACGGCUACCACAUCCNAGGAUGGCAGCAGGCGCGCAAAUUACCCAAUCCCGACACGGGGAGGUAGUGACAAUAAAUAACAAUACGGGGUUCUUUAGGAUCUCGUAAUUGGAAUGAGUACAAUUUAAAUCUCUUAACGAGGAACAAUUGGAGGGCAAGUCUGGUGCCAGCAGCCGCGGUAAUUCCAGCUCCAAUAGCGUAUAUNAAAGUUGUUGCAGUUAAAAAGCUCGUAGUUGAAUUUCGGGGUCAGUAGGUCGGUCGUGCCACUGGUAUGAACUGGUUUUACUGAUUCCUCCCUCUUGAAGAACUGUAAUGCCAUUAAUUUGGUGUUGCAGGGAAUCAGGACUGUUACUUUGAAAAAAUUAGAGUGUUUAAAGCAGGCUUUAGCUUGAAUACAUUAGCAUGGAAUAAUGAAAUAGGACGUUUGAUCCUAUUUUGUUGGUUUCUAGGAUUGACGUAAUGAUUAAUAGGGAUAGUUGGGGGCAUUAGUAUUCAAUUGUCAGAGGUGAAAUUCUUGGAUUUAUUGAAGACUAACUACUGCGAAAGCAUUUGCCAAGGAUGUUUUCAUUAAUCAAGAACGAAAGUUAGGGGAUCGAAGACGAUCAGAUACCGUCGUAGUCUUAACCAUAAACUAUGCCGACUAGGGAUCGGAUGAUGUUAAUUUUUUAAUGACUCAUUCGGCGCCUUACGGGAAACCAAAGUGUUUGGG
Molecule: ribosomal RNA, 785 nt
Filed under: uncultured Glomus
Lineage: Eukaryota; Fungi; Glomeromycota; Glomeromycetes; Glomerales; Glomeraceae
Description: SSU rRNA
Rfam family: Eukaryotic small subunit ribosomal RNA
Source: RNAcentral